AUCAACUAUAAUUGAAAAUAUCCAAUGAACCAAGUCCAGGAAUCUCGCCAAGUGAUGGAUGUUCACAAUCCUCAUUCAUUAAGCUCAAAGGCGAACCCUCUUCCCGCUCCCUAACAUCCCAGUCCGAGUCAGGAACGAGGUUAUUCUUUGAAGCUGUUUCUGCAUCAUCGUACAUUUCACUGGUAUGAGGGGAAUGUUAAAUUCACUUGAACUGCAACUCUUGCCAUUGAUUAUAUAGUAAAUUCUUCUGAAAGGAUCUCUUCUAAGUAAGUCACACACAAGGUCCUUGAGGAACGCGGUAGGAAAAAAGAACGACCAUGAGAGAGAUUAUAAGAUAUGUAACGGCGAAUGGCUGUUUUGUAUUCUUCAAAAAUUUUCUGAACACCAAGAACCGAAAAAAAAAGAAGAAGCACAAUUAAGGAACUUGGACAGCGAAGAUAAUAUAUCCAAAAGCUAAUAAGACAUGUUUUUAAUGACACCCACCAGAGCAUACUGCUAUCUCAACCAGCAUACACCUAGUAAGAACAAUAUUUGCAAAUUCAUGAACAAUUCAAGGAGUACGGGCGACCAUAAUCUAGAAAUAAGAUUAUGGCAGGAACGUAGGCUGCGAAAAAACUGGUAGGGCGCUCAAACAUGCAAAAAAUUAUCCUUUGUAACUUUUCUUCAAAAGUCAACUCUCCCUCUGUUCUAAGUCUGAAACCAAACCAGGGAUUAAGAAGCAACCCCUUGAACAUAGCAUCAAGAACAGAACAAUUUGUCACGUUUGCAGAAAUCAGUAUUACCAACAAAAAUUUGAUUCGCUCUAUUUUAAGUCUGAUUCUCAUGCACAGUGAAUUGGCUGAGAGCUUUACUGAAUUUGCUGUUCUCUUUGCUUCAUGCAUUGCAACUUCAACGCUGAACCAGCGGAUAAAAGUAGUGACAAUCGAUCACAUAAAUAUGGAUCUCCGAUGCAUUUAUACGGGGUUAUUAUUUCAAUAAUCUACCAAUAGGCCUCUGUGAAGCUCAAACUAAAAUGUUAGUCAAGAAUGGAGGUGACAAGCGAGUAGUGAUAGAUCAGUUAAUGAUGGAGAUGUUCUGGUGAAUGGAGGGACGCGGUUGUCCAAGGAUUGAUGGAUGAAUAUGUGGCUUGUAUUUCCAGUGAAGUUAAUGGAUAUUUGAGGGUUAAUCUUGUCGGCUCUUGCCGUUGUAGGUGCAAUCUUGAGUUGCAUACUUUCAAUCGCACAGAGAACGCACUUCACUAGCCUAAGCAAAAAAUAAAGUGAACAUGAACAUGCAUUCUAAAGCUAGUAAGAAGUACCAAAAGUAAAAGGGCACCACCUCACUCAAUUUGGAUCCUCUGCAUUUUGUGGCAAUUGUGAUAUG
Rhodamnia argentea is the source of this 1362-nucleotide long non-coding RNA. RefSeq lists it as uncharacterized. NCBI's taxonomy places the organism in Eukaryota, Viridiplantae, Streptophyta, Magnoliopsida, Myrtales, Myrtaceae. The transcript is spliced from 3 exons. The record is from RefSeq and is a predicted model, not a curated record.